Long non-coding RNA from Oreochromis aureus, 6201 nucleotides. The record is from Ensembl. Lineage: Eukaryota; Metazoa; Chordata; Actinopteri; Cichliformes; Cichlidae.
CAGCAGAACAAUGAGGCGGAAAUGGCUGCUGGUACAUCUGGUCAUCUCUGCAGAUAGCAAGGAGCAGACGGCCGAGUUUAUUAAACUCCACCGACACAGCGGUGACGCAUAUCGGAAGGCUAGACCGUCCAAUUUCACAGCCUCGCACUUCCCUUCUUCGAAGGACUCGGCUCACGUAGACUGAGGCUGGGUCCUCCAAAGGAUGCAGCCGACGUUUUGGGACACAGCUAUUAAGACGCUACAACACAGAGUGAACACCAUCCCCACUGACACAGCGGCCAGGGAUGCAGAAGAACAUCACAUCAAGAAGGCCCUGAGCAAAUGUGGUUAUCCCAGCUGGACUUUUGUCAAAGCUGGGAAGGCACCUAAAGAAAGCUCCAGCCGAUCCAGGAGAGAAGGACAACCGCUGCCCAAGCGAAAACCUGUAGUGAUCCCAUAUGUGUCAGGAGUAUCGGAACAGUUGAGACACAUUUUUUCUAAACACCGGGUCUCUGUGGCUUUUAAACCCCAAAACACGCUGCGCCAAAAACUGGUCCACCCCAAGGAUCGGGUCCCCCAACACAAACAGAGUAACAUAGUGUACGCUGUUAAGUGCCAGGAGGAUUGCCAGGAUUUAUACAUCGGGGAAACCAAACAUCCUCUGGCGAAGCGGAUGGCACAACACAGAAGAGCAACCUCAUCAGGCCAGGACUCUGCAGUCUAUUUACACCUACAGGCCAGUGGACACUCUUUCAAGGAUGAGGAUGUACACAUCCUGGACAGGGAGGGACGCUGGUUUGAGCGCGGAGUCAAGGAGGCCAUUUACGUGAAAAGGGAAAGACCAUCUCUGAAUCGAGGAGGGGGCCUAAGGGUACAUCUUUCGCCAUCUUACAAUGCUGUGAUUGCAGCCAUUCCCCAACUCUCUGUGAAUGGUACUCAUGGCCAUUGAUCAGUGUUCUUUGAUCAGUGGGUUUUGGUCAGUGAUUGUUGAUCAAUGGUCAUUGGAAUUUGCAUAAUUAUGAUUAAGGAACUGACCUCACAGCCCAUUGUUCCUUCAGUGGGCUGGUUUCAGUCAUUAUGCAAAUGUACUGUUUAUAAGGUUUGGGGAAACCUGCAGUCAGCUGAGACUGAAGAAGUCACUUGGAUGAGUGACGAAACGUUUCUCCCACAAAACGCUACGUCCAGAUGAACAGAUUCAACUUUUGGAGAUUUACUUUCCUGGAUGAUUGAGAAUGCAUCAAGACGUUUCAAAAGCUGCUGCUAGUCCCCUCUCCACCCUCCGCUCACAGAUGGCUGCUGUAAGAUUGCUCCUGUUUUUGCCUCUAGCAUCUAUUUCUGCAGCGCUACAGCUGGGUUUGCAGGCGAAGCUUGGAGAUGACGUCACUCUCCAUUGUCAGAUUACCACAGAUGAAAGGAUCUCAGUGCUGAAGUGGAGCAGAGCUGACCUGAACACAGACGGCUACGUCUACUUCUACAGGAACAAACGCUCCUAUGAAAACUACCAACAUUCAUCUUUUCAUGGCCGAGUGAAGCUGAGGGACCCGGAGAUGAAGGAUGGAGACGUUUCUCUGAUCCUGAAGAACGUCACGUUUAAUGACACUGGGAUGUAUGAGUGUCACGUAGCAGUGAGGAACCCUGGGAGAAGUAAAAGAGUUCACACUAAGAUCAGUCACUUCAUCAACCUCACAGUCACAGGUGAAACGCAUGAAAAUAUGCAUGAGAGACACAUCGUGGAAAGAGAAGAUGGAAGUGGAAACAUGUAUGACAUGCAACAGGCUGGAAAUCCGCCUGUCCUUAUGUUUGCUGGAGUUACUGCCAUCAUCAUCGUCAUCAUUGUUGUUCCUGCAUUUCUUUUGUUUGUGCUGCUCCUUAAAAUCAUAAGAAACAAAAAACUAGCUGUGCCUCCUAAUCAGGAAGCUACUGGUCUGAAAUGUUAAAGUUUCUUUUUUUUAAAGAAACUUCAAACGCUGAUAUUUACAUUCUUGCAAUAUCAAUUCCUUUUAGUACAUUUAUCAAGUAAUCAAAACUAAAAGAACCUCGCUGUUUCGGUUGAGCAAUUUGACAGUAUUUAGAGGGGGAAAAAAAUAGAAAAAGAAAAAAGCACUCAAGUUGUCUGCAGAGAAGACAAACACAACUUUGCCAGUUGUCUAGAUAACAUUAACCUUAAAAAAAAAAUCAAAAAAAAAAAAAUCCAGUUUUAAAUUUAAAACUGGAUUUUUUUAAAUGCUAAAAAUAGGUUUAGACAAAGUAAAGGAAAUGACUGAUUCUGGGUCAGAAGUCAUCACCAACGAUGAUCCAGACCUCAGGAUUAAAAAGGAACAGUUUUAAUGAUAAAAUGAUUACUGAAGAUGUGCCGCUGGCCUUGAAGCUGAAAAGAGUUAAACUCAGGAUACAUUUCAAGUUGCUGAGUUAAAUAGCAAAGAUUUUUUAUUAAUUAAAAAAACUGAGCUUUUAAAAAUGUGUAGUUUGAGUUUCUCCUUUUCCUCUUUAACUUCAUUUCCCACAGUGAGCAUCUGAGCUUCAGCCCUUUGCACUGUUUCCCCGCCUUCUUUGAACUUUCUGUUUCUGUUCUCGCACACGCUCUGCGUAAAUAAUUUGAUUGGGUGAGCAGCAUCGUGUGGGAUAACCUAUAAUGCACGCGAGUGAUCUGUGCCAUCUUCGGCCAGAUUAAAAUAUAUGGGAAUAAGAACUGUAUGUAUGAGAAAAGGUCCGCAGAGUGAUCGGUAAUAGAUCUGGGUGCAGAUCCAGUCCGUGGUUUGCAUAUUGGUGAUGUGGCAUUAGAUUGAAAAAAAAUACUCAGUGGCUAAACAUGAAUUCAAACCUCCACACAGGUUUAUGUUAAAGGUAAAAACAGAUUUGUUUGAAGGUUGAUGUGGGAUUAAAGGAGUUGUAUCAGCUCUGCAAGCAGAAAACUGAACAGAACCUUAGUCUCAACGUCCUCAUAUUAAUACAGGAAGUUACUGAACACAUGAGACAGAAGCAACAUGUUUUCAUUAUGCUCACCUCAAACAAGCCAACUGAUGAUGCUCAGGUAACAGCAGUGGACGGAAAAAGGCUGGAAUUUGUAUUUUUGGUGCUAUUUUUCUUGGAAUUGUGUGAAUUUUCUUAAUUUAAAUGUAUUAUUUAAUUAAUAAAUUUUUUCCUGUCCUUUCCGAAAGUGUAGCAUUCAGGAUUGCUGAAGGCUAAAAAUGCCCAAUGGUUUACAUUCCCAAGUGGACCAUUAUGGCAUUUGCUACAAUGGUCCACUUGAUAGUUAUAAUUUAUUAAAACUUUAUUAGGAUUUUUUUUUUAUUUUGAGUUAUUACAACCACAGCAGACAAGAACAGGGGACAGAAAAGAAAAAGAGAGAGCGAAAACCUUGAAAAUCUUCCUCAACACCUGAAAUGAAAACAUACAAAGAAAAUAAAGUUUUAAUUUCAGUGGCAGAUCUCACACACGCUGCUCACUGCUGUAAAACUGAAAAUGAGGUUUAGUGAUUAGAAAACUAAAAAGCUGGAGCCAUAAGGUUCUUUCCACAUUAAGAAACUGUGAUUAUGAAAGUUUCAUGCUGACUUGAGAAUUGCUACAACUGACAAACAAAGAAUAUCUUUACACAACACAGUAACCGACCUCUGACUAUAUAAAGAUCAUUUAGAGACAUUUCGCUUUUGUAUUGAAACCACAAAAUAUUAAUUAACAUUAAUUAACAAAAUAAAAAUUCUUUGAUUUGUAUUUAAUUUUGUGUUUCAUUUUAAAAUGUCAUUUUACUGAAAGUUCAUGAACUUCAUGAGCUCUGAAUCCACUCUGUGUCAGCUGCUUUAUGUUCACGCUGAGGUGACCUGUAAUGAUACAUACUCUGCACGAUUAAACUUUCUCCUGCACUCUCUCUGUUUAUCUGCAGUAACAGAAACAGAACAAAUCAUCUUUUUUUCCUCUUCCUCAGUUAAAAAAAAGACGUCUAGAUAGUGUGUGACAGAUUUUAUGUUGAUGAUGUUUGAAUAUUUGUGUCUUCGAUGAUGAUCCUAGUUGUCACUCAAGCUGCUCUGCUGCCACCUGGAGGCUUGAAAGUGUUAAAGCAUCAAUCUACAGCUCAGUGAAUGUGACAUCAGAAUAACCAGCACAGCCAAAGAAUCCUGAAUAAACUGAAGUGUUUGCAGUACAGCUGCAGUGCUGAUGGGUCGCACUUCACUUCCGCUCAAAGUGAGAGUCCAGAUUCAAGUUUGAACAAAACUUGCAAAGAAAAAGUUAAAGCUGUUGUGUUGAUAUUUGAAGUGCUUUGAUUAUUUUUGGAUAACAAGAGAACAUGCGCAUCAGCUAAGAAGGAAAAAAGUUCACAUUAACUGAGACUGAUGACUAACUAAACAUAAUUAGUUUUAUUUUUGAGCAGCUGAAAGUAGCUACAAGCUAUGUCCUCUUUCAAAGUUACAGCAAUCUACACACAGAUCUUCAGGUAUCUGUUACAAAUUGGUACGAAAGCUUUUGUACAAACAGUUCCGCUGCGUUUAUUACCUAGCCUUUUAUUGUUAAACAAGUCAACGGACUUGCUGUAGUAAGAAGUUACCUUUAUGAGAUUAUGCCUUUAUCCCAAUUCAGGGUCUGCAGCCUUGGAGCAUGUGGCCUUCGCGAUCUACGUGGGCCAUGUCCUCAAAGACCGAGAAGGCCGGAAGUGUGCUUGUGAAAUGGGACGGUCUAACCUCCAUCCCCAGGUUGCCUAGCAACCAUGAUACUAACAGCCGGAAACGUUUCAUACAUCAUUGUUUAACAGAAAUUAAGGAGAAAAUCUUUUGUUCAUUUGUUUGUUUGUUUGUUUUUACAUGAGCUCUGUGUGAUUUGAUAAGUAUCUGAGGCUGAGACCACAGGACUGUAAAACAUGAUAGUUGGGCUUCAUUUCUGUACUGAACAGUCAUUUUAAGAUUAGCUAGUAAAUAACAAUUAGCUAAUGUUGUUCAUGAGACUAAAGUCAUCUUACUUUGAUAAUGUAAAUAUAAUAUGGCCAAUAUUAUAGUUAUUAUAUUAAUCAUUAUUAGUUAUUACAGCAGUGAACAUGAACUCUGUGUCAAAUACUGAGCUUCAGUAAAGAUUCAAGUUGCAGUUAUUUAUAUGUACUAUCACCUUAAAUGUUCACUCAAAGACAAGUAUCUUUGACAGUGUAUAUACAGAUGUAUUAUAUAUAAGAGACAAACAUUGUUCUUUUAAUAUGUUGGCAUUACUAAAUUUGGCUUUGUUUUGCUUUUUUUAAUCAACAUAAAGUGAACUUUUUUAGUCAUGCACAGAGAGCCUGGUGUGGUUGCGGAUCUAAAUGCAGAAAGAGGAGAUGUUUUUACGCCUGAUGCGGUGAAAUUUUCCUUCAAACUUUGUUUGGUCAACUGUGGUUUGUUUAAAAAUGUUAAAUGUCAUGUUUUAAUGUCAGUUUCAUGCAUUAAAAAUGCUUUUGUUACGGUUUGGAGGAGGACUCAAGCGCAGGACUCCGAUUCUGAUGCUCACAGAAAGGGUUUAUUUACAAUGCACCAGGUGUAUAUACAAGAAUGUGCGGGGGGUGCUAUAUACAGCUGAGUGAGGGGAGAAGGGGUCUCCAGGGAAGUCCAGGGGAAAGCACGCGUUCUUCAGAGUAUCCACUCACACGAUCACAGGCUUACACGGGAAUCACACGGGGGGAAAAUCCAGGGAGCUCUGUAGACAGGGAGACAGGGUAAGUACGACGCACACAGGAAAACACUCUUAACUAACUUGCUGUAGCUUGGCUUCACUAACGCGUGGUAGACAACGAUCCAGCGACGAACAGCAGUCACCUCCUGGCUUAAAUGCUGACCAUCAUAAUGAGACCCAGGUGUCUCAUCUCCCGAGGGCGUGGGCCGAGGGCGUGAACCCACAGUGAGUUCCGCCCCGGCGAGAGAGAAGCGGAGAGAGAGAGGAAGAGAGCGAGAGGAACAGAGAGAGCUGAUCAGCGUGCAGCUGAUCCGCCUGGCCGUGACAGUACCCCCCCCCCGACGGGAGCCUCCCGGCGACUCCCAGGCUUGUCAGGGUGAGCCGCAUGGAACGCCCGCACCAUACCCCGAUCCAGAAGGGCCGUCCGCGGGAUCCAAGAACGCUCCUCCAUCCCGUAGCCCUCCCAAUCCACGAGAUACCGCAGACCGUGCCCCCGGCGCCGGACAUCCAUGAUCCAUGAAAUGGUGAAAGCCGGGUGGCCAUCAAUGACCCGGGCGGGUGGAGGGGGCCUGGAAGGAGGGCACAGAGGACUAGAGA